GACGAACGCUGGCGGCGUGCUUAACACAUGCAAGUCGAACGGAAAGGCCCUGCUUUUGUGGGGUGCUCGAGUGGCAAACGGGUGAGUAACACGUGAGUAACCUGCCCUUGACUUUGGGAUAACUUCAGGAAACUGGGGCUAAUACCGGAUAGGAGCUCCUGCUGCAUGGUGGGGGUUGGAAAGUUUCGGCGGUUGGGGAUGGACUCGCGGCUUAUCAGCUUGUUGGUGGGGUAGUGGCUUACCAAGGCUUUGACGGGUAGCCGGCCUGAGAGGGUGACCGGCCACAUUGGGACUGAGAUACGGCCCAGACUCCUACGGGAGGCAGCAGUGGGGAAUAUUGCACAAUGGGCGGAAGCCUGAUGCAGCAACGCCGCGUGCGGGAUGACGGCCUUCGGGUUGUAAACCGCUUUCGCCUGUGACGAAGCGUGAGUGACGGUAAUAGGUAAAGAAGCACCGGCUAACUACGUG
RNAcentral lists this ribosomal RNA (468 nucleotides) under uncultured bacterium. RNAcentral's name for it is "partial 16S ribosomal RNA". It matches the Rfam family "Bacterial small subunit ribosomal RNA", at positions 28 to 507 of the family's 1533-position model. The record is from RNAcentral.